Meriones unguiculatus (Mongolian gerbil) is the source of this 2269-nucleotide long non-coding RNA. RefSeq lists it as uncharacterized. The transcript is spliced from 4 exons. Lineage: Eukaryota; Metazoa; Chordata; Mammalia; Rodentia; Muridae. The record is from RefSeq and is a predicted model, not a curated record.
UCUCGGUUUUCUCCUUUCCCUAAAGGGCUGUGAGAAAUCAACUCAGAUGGGCAGUCUUAGGGGCACGCUCCUUUAAGCCAUAUUGCCCAUCUCAUGUGGUCUUUCUAAACCCCAAUAUCCCCAAUUCUCUGCGCACCUUCACAAGAUGCGCUCAGCGGACCUAGCUGGCAAUUAAUGCUGGUUAUUAAUAUUGGGACAAUAAAAUCCUGAGAUUGACCGUGGCGGCGCAUGCCUUUAAUCCCAGCACUCUGGAGGCAGAGUGUUUUGCCUGCAGGUAUGUAUGUGCACCACAUUCAUGCUGGGUGCCCACAGAGCUCGAAAGUGGGCAUUGGGUGCCCUAGAAUUGGAGCUGCAGGAAGUUGUGAGCUGUCGCAUGGGUGCUAGGAACUGGACACCGGUCCUCUCCAAGAAUUCAUGGACGUAAACAGCAAAUAUGACCACUGGUUGUGAUAUUGGACAACACGGGUUGAGGCCAAACCUAAGAGCUCACUGGCGUUACUAAAGCAUACUGGUUUUAAAGGACAGGAACCAAGUGGUCCGAUUCCAGAGCCAGGGCUAUUCAUGAAUGAAAAUGAUUUUAUGACUAUUUCUGCAAUGGGUAUGUAGACCUAAUUUAUAGUUGCUUACCAUGCUAGUCAUUCAUGCUCCAAUUUCUACCAACAGUAUAAUUCUGGAAAGCAGUGGAUAGAUUACAGAUUUACCAUUUUUAUAUGCAUAAGGAAAUUUAAUUCACCUCCACAGUAAAUUGCAACUAGAAUACUCUAAUAUAAUUUUUAAAGGUGACUUGUAUUUUGCAUGAGAAUUGCAUUUUAAUUUGGCCUAUAAUCCAUAGUUUGAAAUUCAGGGCUUUGAAAACUGAAAAUGUUUUAACAAGUAUUUAGAAUACUUGUAUGAGUUCCAAUAAACCUACAGUUGAAUGUGAAGAUAGUUUGCUAACUUCACCUUUUAUAUGAAAAUAUAAAACAAAGCAGGCAUGGUAGUACAGGCAAAGCAGGGAAGAUCCUGAGUUUGAGGUCAGCAUAGAAUACUUAAAUAGUCAGUCUCUCCAAAACAAAUGAAAUACUAUCUUGUUAAGACAGGUUUUGCACAUAGCCCUGGUGUUCCUAGAAUGAUGUAAACCGGACUGGCCUUGAACUCUUGAAGAUCAGACUGAGUUCCUGAGUACUAAGAUUAAGGCAAUCACCACAACAGUUGGCUUCUUGUUUUAUCUUAAAGAAAAUGAGGGGGGAGGGACAAAAAUUGAUUUCCCAAUUCUAUAUUUUCACCUUUAAUUAAAAAAAUUUUGGUAUAGGGCAGUCAACCCAAGGACCGGACAUACUUCCAAUGAGCUAUAUUUCUAUAAUUUGAGUGAAAUAAAAAUACGUUGGGAACUACCCACUUCACCAGAAGAAAAUUUCCCUGGCAAACAAGCUACAAUUAAUUCAUCCUCCUUUCUCAAUUUUUGAUGCUAAAACUAAUAUAAAAAGGACAAACAGCGAAGAGUAGUGGUGACUGCUUUUUAAACCCAGGAUGAGGGCGACCUGGACUACAAAGAAAGUUCCAAGCUAGCUAAGGGCUCCACAGCGAGCCCUGGUCUCCAAAAUAAGUAACAAAUGCUUGCAGAUUUACACACCUACGUAACCAAGGACAGAAAAGCUAAAGAUAAGCUAGGCUUUUAAUCUUAUUUUUAAAUUAUUCAUCUAUUUUAUGUGUGUUUUGCCUGAAUUGCGUCUGUGUACCACGAGGAUGUGUGAUGCCUGUGGAGGUGCCAGAAGAGAGAGCAUCAGAUCCCAGGAACUGGAGUUAAGAUGGUUGUUAACCACCACGUUGGUGCUGGGAAUCCUACCUGGAUCCUCUUGAAGAGUAGCUGGAGUUUUAAACUGCUGAGCCAUCCCUCCAGCUCUAAACUUCGGCUUUUCAGAUUUCAGCUUUUUGUUUGUUUUUGUGAGACAGUUUCUCUGUGUAGCUCCGCCUGUCCUGGACUCACUUUUUAAACCAAGUUGGCCUCGAACUCACAGAGAUACGCCUGCCUCUGCCUCCCUGAGUGUUGGGAUUACAGAUUUCAGCUUCUUGACUCCUGUACCUGAACUUCCUUGCAGAAUAAGUUUUAAUUUUAAAUUUGUAUGGAGCAUCUGAGUCAGCAGAAGGGAAGAUUUUAAGCGGAACUGGUCCCCCAUUUCUCUUACUGGGAUUUAUUUUCCCACCGCACUUGUUUUCGCCUUUGAUAUUUCCUUCUCGGUCCCCAGCUCUACAACCACUUCUUUAAUAUAUAUCUUCGGUACACUUCCGU